GAAUCUCCAGGUUAAACAGGCAGCUAGUGCUAGGCACGCAUGGGCUUUGUCCGGGAUUUACUGCCUGAACAGAGACAGGCUUUGACCUUCAAAUAGCGAUGGGCUUAGAUUAAAUUUGGGCCGAAUUUGCCUAAGACCACCCUGGAGAAAGGCAUGAAGAUUUAAAGGGAAGACAAUGAGACUGCAGGAAGAUAGACCUAGGGUGAAGUCUCAUUUCCCCCAAACGUUGUGUGAAUCUUCUAAGACGAACAGGAUUUCUCUGUGUAACUGCUGUGGCUGUCCUGGAACUCACUCAUGUAGACCAGACUGGCCUCCAACUCACAGAGAUCCACCUGCCUCUGCUGGGAUUUAAGGCUUGAGCUACCUUCACAUGGAAUGAUCUUAUUUAGAAAAAGAAAGUUAUCUUACUGUUCCUGCCGGAGUGAUUUUAGUGGAAAAACACAAUACAGAACCUAGUAAGCUAUUGUGACAGAAGCCAUAGACUUUCCUUUACAAUUCCAUCAACAUGAAUCUACACAUAGUGGAAGAAAAGGC
Molecule: long non-coding RNA, 534 nt
Filed under: Cricetulus griseus (Chinese hamster)
Lineage: Eukaryota; Metazoa; Chordata; Mammalia; Rodentia; Cricetidae
Description: lncRNA (ENSCGRG00015039271.1)
Source: RNAcentral